Molecule: ribosomal RNA, 897 nt
Filed under: Candidatus Woesebacteria bacterium GW2011_GWA2_40_7
Lineage: Bacteria; Candidatus Woeseibacteriota
Description: partial 23S ribosomal RNA
Rfam family: Bacterial large subunit ribosomal RNA
Source: RNAcentral
ACAGUGAAUGCCUUGCUUCUCAUCUCCGAAGAAGGACGUACAUGGUCACGAUAGUCGUCGGGUAGGAGCCACGAUCCAUUGAUCCGACGGUGUCCGAAUGGGGAAACCCUUCCAGCUUUGCUGGAAACUUAGCCUCCAAAUGUGUUCCGCAAGGAAUGUUAUAAAGGCUAAUGUGGGAACCGCCCGAACUGAAACAUCUCAGUAGGGCGAGGAAUAUAAAUCAAUUUACCCCCUUUACGGGGGGCGAGAUUCCGUCAGUAGCGGCGAGCGAAAGCGGAACAGUCUAAACCCAGUGCGUUGCACAGGGAAUUUCUAAGUGCUCUAAUUAACCUAAUUAACCUAAAUAAGCACCAAGUACCAAUUUAAAAUUUUGGAAUUGGUAAUUAUUUAGAAAUUAGAAUAAUUAGAAAUUAGGAAUUUCGCGCGCAGCGCGUUGGGGGUUGCAGGAGCCCGACGUGGGAUUAACUUUUGAUAGCAGAAUAGUCUGGAAUGGCUAAUCAUAGGAAGUGAAAAUCUUGUAUGCAAAAUCAAAAGUUACCCUAGGGAAUUCCUAAGUACCACGGAACACAUAUUCUGUGGGAAACGGGGGGAACCAUCCUCCAAGACUAAAUAAGAUGAGAGAGCGAUAGUGAACUAGUACCGUGAGGGAAAGGUGAAAAGCUGAGUGAAACACUCAAUGAAAUAGAACCUGAAACUGUUUGCGAACAAUCCGAUAGAGCCGUGCGUUGCACAAGGAAUUUCUAAGUGCUCUAAUUGCACUAAUUGACCUAAAUAAAACCCAAGCACCAAGUCCAACCAAAAUUUGGAUUUUGGGAAUUGGUAAUUAUUUAGAAAUUAGAAUAAUUAGAAAUUAGGAAUUUCGCGCGCAGCGCGUGGUGAUAUCGUGCCUAUUGAAGA